CUUCACCGAACCCAGCCACAGCGGAUCGCCCACCCGGUCCUGGCCGUAGGUGGCGAGCAACGCCUGCGCCUC
RNAcentral lists this antisense RNA (72 nucleotides) under Labedaea rhizosphaerae. RNAcentral describes it as "Labedella sp. RS-49 ASpks TB sRNA". It matches the Rfam family "ASpks TB sRNA". The record is from Rfam by way of RNAcentral. Lineage: Bacteria; Bacillati; Actinomycetota; Actinomycetes; Pseudonocardiales; Pseudonocardiaceae.